This 504-nucleotide ribosomal RNA is filed under the name uncultured bacterium. RNAcentral describes it as "partial 16S ribosomal RNA". It matches the Rfam family "Bacterial small subunit ribosomal RNA", at positions 28 to 506 of the family's 1533-position model. The record is from RNAcentral.
GACGAACGCUGGCGGCGUGCCUAAUACAUGCAAGUAGAACGCACAGUUUAUACCGUAGCUUGCUACACCAUAGACUGUGAGUUGCGAACGGGUGAGUAACGCGUAGGUAACCUGCCUGGUAGCGGGGGAUAACUAUUGGAAACGAUAGCUAAUACCGCAUAAUAUUAAUUAUUGCAUGAUAAUUAAUUGAAAGGUGCAAUUGCACCACUACCAGAUGGACCUGCGUUGUAUUAGCUAGUAGGUGAGGUAACGGCUCACCUAGGCGACGAUACAUAGCCGACCUGAGAGGGUGAUCGGCCACACUGGGACUGAGACACGGCCCAGACUCCUACGGGAGGCAGCAGUAGGGAAUCUUCGGCAAUGGACGAAAGUCUGACCGAGCAACGCCGCGUGAGUGAAGAAGGUGUUCGGAUCGUAAAGCUCUGUUGUAAGAGAAGAACGGGUGUGAGAGUGGAAAGUUCACACUGGGACGGUAUCUUACCAGAAAGGGACGGCGAACUACGG